Pelobates cultripes (western spadefoot toad) is the source of this 454-nucleotide non-coding RNA. Lineage: Eukaryota; Metazoa; Chordata; Amphibia; Anura; Pelobatidae. The record is from the annotation of a GenBank genome assembly.
CUGAUAUGAACUAUGAGGAAGAAUUAUUCCAGCUCAAGGAAAUUCAAAUUACCCUGACUGACUUGUUAUGGGACCCCACAGGUACCAUGCUCAUCUUAGUCCAUCUUCCAGAGAACAUGACACAUCUCUACCAUCAUUGGGAAACAGCUAUCCCACACAUAUCUCUCACCAGAUCCCCUGACACCUCAUGGAAAGACCUAGGCCCGAUGGCCAAGACCUGGAGUCAAAUGAACCAAGAACAACUGACUUCUAUGGGGGCCAGCAAAAAGACUAUUAACUACUGUACAGCAGGGUACCCUAGGUACCACACAGACGUCUGUGAGGACCCGCUCAUCAUAGACUGUGACCCUGAUAUUUCCCCACUUAGCUGAUCAGGCCGCUAAGGAAGCAGCACGACAAGGAUGGGAAGUGGACAGAAGAGUGGCCACAGACGCAGUGCCCAUCUACACCAUGC